This 76-nucleotide transfer RNA is filed under the name Spirochaetaceae bacterium. RNAcentral's name for it is "tRNA-Met". It matches the Rfam family "tRNA". From Rfam's summary of the family: Transfer RNA (tRNA) molecules are approximately 80 nucleotides in length. The record is from RNAcentral. Lineage: Bacteria; Pseudomonadati; Spirochaetota; Spirochaetia; Spirochaetales; Spirochaetaceae.
GGUGGCGUAGCUCAGUCGGUAGAGCAAACGGCUCAUAUCCGUUCGGUCGGGGGUUCAAAUCCCUCCGCCACUACCU